Long non-coding RNA from Prosopis cineraria, 820 nucleotides. RefSeq lists it as uncharacterized. The record is from RefSeq and is a predicted model, not a curated record. The transcript is spliced from 5 exons. NCBI's taxonomy places the organism in Eukaryota, Viridiplantae, Streptophyta, Magnoliopsida, Fabales, Fabaceae.
CGAAAAAUCUACUCUAUCUCGUCAGCCCGCCAAACGUCGCAGGAGUUGCUGCCCAACGCCGCAGGAAGGUGCAGCACUGUAUCGCCGAAUGGUUCUAGACCAGUCUUGCUCGCAUCACGUCAAUUUGCCAUCCUAAACCUUUGAUCUUCUUUCUCGUGUCAUUUCAGUCGCCAGAAAACCUGUCUAGAUCAAAAACUUGUGCUGUCCGUCGCUUCGGUCACUCCUUUGCCGUUGGGUCUCCGUUAAAAUGCACAGAAAGCAGAAGAGGAGCUCACUGUAAAUCAUCUCACCUCCUCCCCCCCUCUCCCUCUCUCUCUGUGCUUUUCUUUCUUCUGUCUUACUCAUUAACCCCAUACUCUCCGGCUCCAUUUAGCCUCGCCAUUCCAUUCCCUGUGAUCUGUUCAAGAGAUUCCUCUUCACUCUCCCCCCCGAGAUGACAGUGAACAAGCAUUCACUAAAUUUUGUUUUGCUUCUUGGAGAUACAGAUUUAAAUUGCCUGUUACGAACCAAAUGUUGAAUGAGGUACAAAGCGGCUCUUGUAUACUUUAAGGUUUAAUACUGUUAUGUAUGCAUUUUGAUGGGCUGCCAUUGGAAAAGGGUGUAGAAACCAUUACUAUGACAGCAAACUGAUUGGUACAAUUACUUUGUUGGAAGUCAUGUUUGCCCAUAAUUUCAAGAAGGUUGGCAUUAUUGUUGAAGGCAUUUUUUGAGGAUAAUUUUUUACUUUGAAGAUUAUAUUCAUAUUUUGUGGUUAUAGUUGAUUAAGAUUGUGGUUACCAAACAUACAAGAACAUUGUAUUUUUAAAAUUUUAAGAGGAAG